UACGAAGGGGGCUAGCGUUGUUCGGAAUUACUGGGCGUAAAGCGCACGUAGGCGGAUACUUAAGUCAGGGGUGAAAUCCCGGGGCUCAACCCCGGAACUGCCUUUGAUACUGGGUAUCUCGAGUCCGGAAGAGGUGAGUGGAAUUCCGAGUGUAGAGGUGAAAUUCGUAGAUAUUCGGAGGAACACCAGUGGCGAAGGCGGCUCACUGGUCCGGUACUGACGCUGAGGCCACGAAGGCAUGGGUAUCGAAUGGG
This 254-nucleotide ribosomal RNA is filed under the name uncultured bacterium. RNAcentral describes it as "partial 16S ribosomal RNA". It matches the Rfam family "Bacterial small subunit ribosomal RNA", at positions 524 to 776 of the family's 1533-position model. The record is from RNAcentral.